RNAcentral lists this ribosomal RNA (253 nucleotides) under uncultured bacterium. RNAcentral describes it as "partial 16S ribosomal RNA". It matches the Rfam family "Bacterial small subunit ribosomal RNA", at positions 524 to 776 of the family's 1533-position model. The record is from RNAcentral.
UACAGAGGGUGCGAGCGUUAAUCGGAAUUACUGGGCGUAAAGCGCACGUAGGCGGCUUGGUAUGUCGGGUGUGAAAUCCCCGGGCUCAACCUGGGAACUGCAUCCGAAACUGCCUUGCUAGAGUAUGGGAGAGGGAAGCGGAAUUUCCGGUGUAGCGGUGAAAUGCGUAGAUAUCGGAAGGAACAUCAGUGGCGAAGGCGGCUUCCUGGACCAAUACUGACGAUCAGGUGCGAAAGAGUGGGGAGCAAACAGG